CAGCCGCCGCGGGAAAACGUAGGUGGCAAGCGUUGUCCGGAAUUAUUGGGCGUAAAGGGCUCGCAGGCGGUUUCUUAAGUCUGAUGUGAAAGCCCCCGGCUCAACCGGGGAGGGUCAUUGGAAACUGGGAAACUUGAGUGCAGAAGAGGAGAGUGGAAUUCCACGUGUAGCGGUGAAAUGCGUAGAGAUGUGGAGGAACACCAGUGGCGAAGGCGACUCUCUGGUCUGUAACUGACGCUGAGGGGCGAAAGCGUGGGGAGCGAACAGGAUUAGAUACCCCCGUAGUCCCUGUCUCUUAUAC
RNAcentral lists this ribosomal RNA (301 nucleotides) under uncultured bacterium. RNAcentral's name for it is "partial 16S ribosomal RNA". It matches the Rfam family "Bacterial small subunit ribosomal RNA", at positions 509 to 807 of the family's 1533-position model. The record is from RNAcentral.